CCCGGCAUUCCUGACGCAUCACACUGCACUGAGCUAAUUGACAGCCGCAGCGAUGUUCCGCCUCAGCCGGUGAUACGCUGAGCGGCAGGGUGAUGUAACAGCCCAGGCCUUGCCUUCUUUCAGGUGCCCUGGCCCGUUACACAACACUGCCGCUCGAUUUAUCACCGGCCGAUAUGGGACAUCACGCAGUGCGACGCAAUGGACACAGAAUGAGGAAGAAGACUGGGCCCAGAAGACAGGACAGCAACAUCGCUGCAUCGGGGGAGCGUCAAAAGGAGACUAAAACAGCACUGAGGCCUCUUCAUCAUGCACUCAGUUCCCCGCAGUGGUGCAGAAGCUGCCGCGCACUGAAAUUUCGAGAUCACGUCGGCUGCAGGAGAAGGUCCGGCACCACUAACAGAGUGAACAAUGAAUAGACCCAAGGAAAGACGCAGUUGUUAGUCCUUGGGAAUUGCAGUUUAUCUGCUGUUAUCUGAAGUUUUCCACAUUGUAUUGUAGCCUGGUAACCGCAAUCCACAAGUACGUGCAGUUUAGCUUUAGAGGUGAAAGGAGAAUAAAAGAAAAC
Long non-coding RNA from Hyla sarda, 565 nucleotides. RefSeq lists it as uncharacterized. NCBI's taxonomy places the organism in Eukaryota, Metazoa, Chordata, Amphibia, Anura, Hylidae. The transcript is spliced from 3 exons. The record is from RefSeq and is a predicted model, not a curated record.